This 515-nucleotide ribosomal RNA is filed under the name uncultured bacterium. RNAcentral describes it as "bacterial SSU rRNA". It matches the Rfam family "Bacterial small subunit ribosomal RNA", at positions 318 to 825 of the family's 1533-position model. The record is from RNAcentral.
ACUGAGACACGGUCCAGACUCCUACGGGAGGCAGCAGUGGGGAAUUUUGCGCAAUGGGCGAAAGCCUGACGCAGCAACGCCGCGUGGGUGAUGAAGGUCUUCGGAUCGUAAAACCCUGUCGUCAGGGACGAAGGUUAGUCGUUGAAUAGGCGAUUGACCUGACGGUACCUGGAGAGGAAGCCCCGGCUAACUCUGUGCCAGCAGCCGCGGUAAUACAGAGGGGGCAAGCGUUAUUCGGAAUUAUUGGGCGUAAAGGGCGCGUAGGCGGUUUUUUAAGUGAGAUGUGCAAUCCCCGAGCUUAACUUGGGAACUGCAUCUCAGACUGGAAGGCUAGAGUGCUGGAGAGGGUGGUAGAAUUCCACGUGUAGCGGUGAAAUGCGUAGAGAUGUGGAGGAAUACCAGUGGCGAAGGCGGCCACCUGGACAGUAACUGACGCUGAGGCGCGAAAGUGUGGGUAGCAAACAGGAUUAGAUACCCUGGUAGUCCACGCUGUAAACGAUGAACACUUGGUGUGG